Myotis lucifugus (little brown bat) is the source of this 1936-nucleotide long non-coding RNA. RefSeq lists it as uncharacterized. NCBI's taxonomy places the organism in Eukaryota, Metazoa, Chordata, Mammalia, Chiroptera, Vespertilionidae. The record is from RefSeq and is a predicted model, not a curated record. The transcript is spliced from 3 exons.
AGUUAGGAACCAACUUAGCAUUUCUAUAGUUAAGAAGGGUUCUGGCCUAUGUGCUCUCUAUUAACACUCUCAUUGUUAUAUAAAUUAACUUAGUGCUUACAGGGCUUAUAAGAUAAAGCCAGCAUUUAUGGGACAAAGGUAUGUAAUGGAGAAAUCAUACUCUAUCAUCUGUAAUGGGAAGAUUAAGAAUAAUAGACACAAAAAUUUGUGUUAGCUGCAUUGGGGCUGGUAUCAUUUGGAAAGUUGAAUCAAAGCUGAAGGUUGCUAACUCAGGAGGAAGAAGAUGCCUCAGAGUAACAGAUUGUAAACUUGGGUGAAAUUGGAACUAGGAGGAAUAUAUAUAUCAGAUGGAAGAGGAGCCAAUUCCACUGAAGUAGUUUGGGAGAUUAGACAAAUAGAACAGUGGUUUUCAAUGGAGUGGGGGAAUGGAAAUUCUUCCCCCUUCCCAGGGAUCAUAUGGCAAUGUCUAGAGACAAGCUGGGGGAAGGGUACUACUGGUAUCUGGUGAGCACAGAUCAGGGAUGCUGCUAACCAUCUUAUUAAUGUACAGGGGAGGGAGGGCAGUUGAGGGGUCCCAGGUUGGAGAGUACAGGCUGGGGUGAGAGAACACUCCCCCCGCCACAGUGCACAAAUUUUAUGCACUGGGCCUCUAGGCUAUAAUAAUAAAAGUGUAAUAUGCUAAUUAGACCAGACGGCUGAACAGUGGAACGACAUCUGGAUGAAGCCAGGGCUCGCAGCUGACUGUGAGGGCCAAGCCCCUUGCAUGAAUUUCUUGCAUCGGGCCUCUAGUAAAUACAUAAAACAGUAACAUAGUCGUUUAUUAUCAUUAUCAUGAAUCAUGUACUGUGUGUAACUGUAUGUGCUAUACUCUUAUACAAGUGGUAGUGCAGUAGGCUUGUUUGCACCAGCAUCAGCACAGACACAUGAGUAAUGCAUUGCUUUACGCUGCAACUCAUGUUGGCUGUGACGUCACUAGGUGAUAGGACUUUUUCAGCUUCAUUAAAAUGUUAUAGGACCACCGUGGUAUAUGGUAUAUAAGGUCCAUCAUUAACCAAAACAUUGUUAGGUGGUGUAUGAUUGUGUAAGAAUGAGAAUGACAGUAUGAGAGGAGAAAUGAAAAGCCAUCAAACUAGAAGUAUCUUGGAGAAGUGCCCAAUAUUCUCUACAAGUAGCUGGUAAAGGCAGCUUGUUUUCCCACCUGGAUGAACUGGCCUGAAGGAUGCCUCUCACAGCCUUUUCAGAGGGGUAUCCUUUAUCUGCCUUUUCCAGUUUGGAAACCUUCCGGAGAAAACAUUCCUUUCUAGUAGAAAGAGAAUGAGAGUGAAAGCAUUCUUUGUCUGCAGAUUCCUGGGACGGCUUUGAAGAGACUGAGUAAAUGACUGGUGAAAUAAACCCCGCCUCCCUAUUUGUAACUGUGCCAGUGACAAUAUCCUGUGAAUGAUUAAAACAGAACAAAACAAAAAAACCCAAAACUGUUGGUCUCCAGACAACUUUUAACCUAAAAUGCUUUGAUAAAAAGCCUUGCAGGAUAAUCAGAGGAUAUGUUCUGUCCGACUCCAGAGUCAGAAAGCACAUUCUAACCUGGCUGAGAGUUGCACGCCCUGGGACAGGAAUGCAAUCCAUUCUUCUUUUUCUGAGGACGGCCUGUCAUCAUGGAAAGAUGAACAACCUUGUUGCUGAACCAAUCUGGUCUCAGAGGGCUGGCCAUUUAUACCCCCCCCCCCCCAGCCUGCAUUGCCUAUAACCUGUAACCAUUAUAUCUUGCCUACUUCCUCAUGCUUGUAAUUCCUACUUUUCCAUGCAAUCUUUGUCUCUUCUCCCCUCUACCCAAUAUAAGCAGCUGGCUUAUGGGAAGGGGACAGCAGGAUUUUAUGGACGAUCUACUGCUCUCCUGUACCGCCAGCUUCAUUUAAAUAAAUGCUCAUAUAUGAUUCAA